This 29445-nucleotide long non-coding RNA is filed under the name Citrus maxima (pomelo). RNAcentral describes it as "long non-coding RNA (CMAX_LNC000727)". Lineage: Eukaryota; Viridiplantae; Streptophyta; Magnoliopsida; Sapindales; Rutaceae. The record is from RNAcentral.
UUACUGUUUCUGAAAACCAUUUUCAAGGAACAAUCCCUAAAAGCUUGAGAAAUUGCACAAGCUUAAUCCGAGUACGCCUUAAUGGAAACAACCUUACUGGAAAUAUAUCAGAAGCUUUGGGCAUUUAUCCUAACUUGACUUUCAUAGAUCUCAGCCGCAAUAAUUUUUACGGUGAAAUCUCGUCUAACUUUGGGGAAUGCCCAAAAUUAGGCACUAUCAACGCUUCGAUGAAUAACAUUACUGGAGGUAUACCGCGUGAGAUUGGAAACUCAUCUCAACUACAAGCACUCGAUCUUUCAUUGAAUCAUAUAGUUGGGGAGAUUCCAAAGGAACUUGGGAAGUUAAAUUCUCUAACCAAGCUCAUUGUGAGAGGGAAUCAACUUACAGGACGCCUGCCUACAGAAAUCGGCGCAUUCAAUGAACUUGAAUACCUCGACUUAUCUGCAAAUAGAUUCAACAAUUCAGUCCCAGAAAGUCUCGGCAACUUGCUGAAACUGCACUGCUUGGGUUUAAGCAACAACCAGUUUGUCCAAGAAUUGCCAAAGGAAUUGGAGAAGCUAGUUCAACUUUCAGAAUUAGAUGCAAAUCAUAACCUCUUUCGAGGAGAGAUACCAUUUCAAAUAUGCAGUUUGAAAAGCUUGGAAAAGUUGAAUCUCUCCCACAAUAAUCUCUCUGCUUCGAUUCCAAAUUGCUUUGAGGGAAUGCACGGUCUAUCAGUCAUUGACAUUUCUGAUAAUCAUUUGCAAGGCCCAGUUCCAAAUAGCACAGCAUUUCGGAAUGCCCCAGUGGAAGCGUUAGAGGGAAAUAAGGAAUUGUGUGGAAGUGUGAAAGGAAUGCACCCAUGCAAAGUUUUCUCGUCACACAAACAAAAUUCUGGAGCCAAGUGGUUUGCAAUAGUGUUCCCUGUUUUAGGAGCACUAUUUGUUUCAGUGGCGUUGAUAGCAAUUUUCAUUCUUCGAAAGUGGAAGUCAGACUCAGGAGAUCGACAGAGUAGCAACCAGAACCCUAAGGGAUUGUUUUUUAUAUUAAAUUUUGAAGGCAAACUUGUGUACGAUGAAAUUGUUAGAGCAACAAAUGAUUUUGAUGCAGAGUAUUGCAUUGGAAAUGGUGGACACGGAAGUGUUUAUAGAGCUGAGCUACCAUCUGGGGAAGUCGUAGCUGUUAAGAAAUUUCACUCACCACUCCCAUGCGAUCAGAUUGCAGAUCAAAAAGAAUUCUUGACCGAAGUUGAGGCCUUCACAGAGAUACGACAUCGAAACAUUGUGAAGUUUUAUGGAUUUUGCUCACAUCCCCGACACUCUUUUUUGGUCUAUGAAUUUCUUGAAAGAGGUAGCUUGGCUGCGAUCUUGAGCAGUGAUGCAGCAGCACAAGAACUGGGUUGGUGUCAGAGAAUGAACGUGAUCAAAGGCGUAGCCGAUGCCUUGUCUUACUUGCACCAUGACUGCUUUCCUCCGAUUGUCCAUCGAGACAUAUCAAGUAAGAACUUGUUGCUGGAUUUGGAAUAUGAAGCUCAUGUUGCAGACUUUGGAAUCGCUAAGUUUCUGAAGCCAGACUCCUCCAACUGGACUGAAUUUGCAGGCACAUACGGAUACGUUGCACCAGGUAUUUAGUAUUCGUUUGUUACCAUUUUGAGUAAUAUUUUUGUGUUAUGUGUGCAGUAACAGAACAAUGCAACUAGAUAUUGUUUUAAAAAUUAUGCAUUACAUUCAUUAGACUUGCAAAAUCUCACUAGUUUAUGCACAAUUAUCUCAGAAACAGAGUAAACAUUUUUUUUUUGGUCCUUGACCUUGCAGAGCUUGCUUACACAAUGAAGAUCACAGAGAAAUGCGAUGUGUACAGUUUUGGAGUGUUAGUGUUGGAAGUGAUCAAAGGGAAGCAUCCAAGAGAUUUUCUUUCUUCAAUUUCAUCUUCAUCUCUCAACACGGAUACAGCACUUGAUGAAAUGUUGGACCCGCGUCUUCCAGCCCCAUCAUGCAAUGUUCAAGAAAAACUGAGAUCAAUCGUGGAGGUUGUGUUUUCAUGCUUAAAUGAGAGUCCGGAGUCUAGACCAACUAUGAAGAUAGUCAGUCGACAAUUGCAGAUUUCAGCUCCCUUGACUAAGUCUUAAUUUUCUAAGUAUGCUUCUAAUUUGCUUGGUUUAUUUGUCUCAUGUACUUUAGUUUGUUUGGUUUAGUUUUCAAGAUUCAGGAGGCGUUGGUUAUUACGUCAUCCUUAUAUGCUUUAUAUACAGUGUACUCUUUCAUUUAUAAAUAAAAUAAAGUUUGCACGUGGGGCAGUGGUGAGCACAUUUGAGGACAUGUGGAGUCUGUACAAUGAAGACCAAGAUUAGUAAGACAGUUUGUAAUAAUUAAAAAUAAUGAUUUCUUGCGACAUCUACAAAGAGGUGAACCCCUCAAAUGCUAAAAGAAAAGAAUAUAUAUGGGGGAAAAAUUAAAAAUUGAGGAUAAUUUACAAUGUAGUCCUAGUGAUUUAACCAAAAAUCAGAUAAACCAAUAAUAAAUAGUUUUUUUUUUUUUGAAUGAUUUGUCUUAGCUUUGAGUAAACGAUUUGAAGGAACUUAUCGCUCUCACCAAUUGUCUUGAAUGCUCUAAUGGCUUACACUUUGUAGAAUCGCCAAUGUUGUGAUAAUAACUUUGAUGGUUAAAAUUUGAUUGUGAAUUUCGGUUGAAUGAUUUAAUGUACGUUUGAUUCUUAUGCCGACCUCUACCAAGUUAAUCUUUUUUUCUGGAUGUUUAAUUUUUUUUAUGUCAAAGUUUAUUAGUUGAUGCCCUAUAUUCGAUCAAUGUGGAUGGCUGAUCAAAAUUAAAGAAUCCUUGAACGAAUUGCGGCCUUGACAGAGAUACGACAUCAGGGCAUUGUAAAACAAGACUGACAUUCAAUUUUAGUGUAUGAAUUUCUUGAAAGGGGUUGGAGUCAGAGAAUGAACGGGAUAAAAUUUAACAUGUUUGCACCACCUUUCUUUUUAAACUUAUAUCAAUUAGUCACUUUUGCACUAAUACUAUUAAAUAAUUUAAAUGAAAUGAUAAUUUUAUCCCCAAAUAAAUUAAAAGAUCAUUUUAUUUUAUAAAAACUUUGAAAAAUACGAAAAUUAUUAUUAUAAAAAUACCCCUAAGUUUAAUAAAAAAUAAAUCCCAAAAUUAAAAUUUUUAUUUUUAAUAAAAAUUGUAAUUAUAAAAAAAAAUUGUAAAAUUUUGGGAUUUAAUAAAAACCCCCUAAAUUAUUAAAAUUUUGGGAUUUAUUUUUAAUAAAUAAAUUCAGUUAUUUUAAUAAAAUUUUGCAAAAUAAUAAAUUUUUAAUAAAUAAAAUCAGUUAUUUAAUUAAAAUUUUACACAUUUUUAAUUUUUAAUAAAAAUAAUUAUUAAAAUUUUACAAAAUCUAAAUUUAAUAAAAAUCAGUUCAGCACCUCUAUUUGGAUUUUAUUUUUUAUUGAAUUUAUGGGUAUUUUUAUAAUAAUAAUUUUCGUAUUUUCAAAAUUUUUAUAAAAUAAAAUGAUCUUUUAAUUUAUUUGGGGAUAAAAUUGUCAUUUCAUUUAAAUUAUUUAAUAGUGUUAGUUCAAAAGUGGAUAGAUGAUACAAAUUUAAAAAGAAAAGUAGUGCAAAGAACAUGUUAAAAUUUUGUAGUGGUUAAAUGAACAUAAGGAAAAGCAAAUGUGGUGUAAUGAUAAUUUUCUUUAAAAAAAUAAAGAACUAUAAUUUCUUGAAUAUUCGAUGAAUUAACAAAAGAAUUGUGAAUGAAGUUUUGUUUGGUAUUAAGAUAUUGUUAUCUUUAAAUCACAAUUAUUGUGAAAUAAUAAAAUUAUAAUAUAAAAGUAAAAGUUGACAACGUAUAAUAAAUAUAACUUUUAAAUAAUAAUUUUGACAAAAAUAAUAAAGAUAUUACAAGUUUCCUAUCAUUAAAAUCAAAUCAUUUUAGCUUGUAAGUCACAAUGAUGAUAGUUAUAAAUUCUUGUAUAAAUUUAUUUUAUAUAAAUUAAUGUGGUAUAAAUUUAUUGGUUAGGUAAAAAUAUAAAAUAAAAAUAAAUUAUGUAAAAUAAAAAAUAAUUUAUGUGAAAUAAAAAUUAUUUAAUUUAAUUAGUUUGAUUUUAAAAGACUACGUCCAAUCAGAGUUUUGAUUUUAAAUAUAUUUUAGUUUGAAGAGCGUACGGGGCAGUGAUGAACACAUUUGACAAGUUGGAAUGGGGGAUAUGUUGAAGAGUUUUGUAACUAAAAUGUUGUAGCUCAAAACCAAUUGACUUUUGUCUUUUCACUUGAUUAAAUUCAUGACAAUUCAAGAAAAGUUUUUAAUGUACGAACCUUAGUAUAAUUUUUCAAAUAGAGUUUAUUUUACUAUAGCUUUGUUAGUUGAAUUUUUACGAGUAAAAUUUUUAAAUAAAAAAUAAUUAUUAUUUGAUUGUCAAGAGCUUUUAUUAAAAAUUAUUACUUUAAUAGGCAAUUUCUUUUAAAAUUAUGUUAUAAAAAAUGAAAUAAGAUUGUCAAAUAAGUAAAUGAUAUUUUUAAAAUUUCAACAUUUUAAAAAGUUUUUCAACUUUUACUCUAAAAAAUCCAGAAUUUAAACUUUUGUUUGUAAAGGUAAAAUAACUUAUUUAAUCCUCAAAAACUCUACUAAAAAAUUUACUAACAACAAUAAUAAAUUUAAAAAGAGAUUAUGAUGAGAUUAAAUAAAUACUUAUGACCAUUAGAUAAGCGAUGCUAAACAAAGACUAAAAAAUAAAAAAGAAAUAAUGAAAACGCAAUAGAUCAGCUUAUGGGAGACAAAAUGAGUUUUACCUUCAUUAAAUACAAGAAAUAAAAAAAUUGAGAAGCUCCACACAGGAAGCAAGAAAAGUAGAGAACCAAAAGUUAACAUAAAUAAUAGUUAAAAAACCAUUAGCAUCUCUAGAAAGAAAAAGUGAAGCCUAUGCAAGAGGUGAAGACCACAAGUGAAAGAAAAGGUAAAGCAUCCACAUGAGGUAAAGAUCACCAAAUAAAGUCUGUACAACGAAGCUCAAGAUUAACAAUGACAAUCUUGAGCAGUAUUGCAACAUCAAAAGAACUUAUUCGGUUGGAGUCAGAAUGAAUGUGAUAAUAUUUGCUCCACGAUUUCUUUCCACCGAUUGUCCAUCGAGGCAUAUCAAGCAAGAAUGUGUUCUUGCAUUUGGGACAAAAUUUUAAUUACAUCUCAACUUCGUAAAUAGAAGUAGUUAUUGUUGAAAUAUAAUUAAAGUAGCGAGAGGCCAUGAUACGACACUCUUAGAGCGAGUGCAGGCUCCAAUCGGUUUAGAAAAAAAUUUGAGCAAGAAAACUGAGACAGGGGAAUUGCAAAGAAAGAAGGGAGACGAAGUGGAUAAUAAGACAAAUGAUAUUUUCCUUGAAUGACCUCACAGGUCCCUUGACAGUACAAAUAUAUUCUUCUUGCCGAAACAGCCACGCACCCUUAACUAACUAAAUAUAAUAAAAUCGAUAAUAACAGUAAAACAAUAAUUGAAAACAGGACAAUAUUCGUUAUUAUGAUAUCCCAAGCAUUCUCGAACUUUCUUCAAAUAACAAAGUCUUUGAGCCAUAUUGGUUUCUUUCUCGCGCGAGCUGGACCUGUCUUGAGCUGCUCUCUAGCUUGAUUCUCAUUCAAGGGUUGGGCUUCUUCCAUUUCUAUAGGUUGGGUUUCUUCCCUUGCUGUCUCCUUGAGCUCGAUCUGAUUCACAGCAAUGGGCCAAGUCGUAUCAUUCCCCAUUCCUUGAAAGCGUACCUUGUUCGGAAGGUGUAGUGCAGGAUAAGUUUACGAAAUUCCUCAAAGUCCUCCCAAGUGGAAUUUUCUGGUGAGCUAUCAGACCAUUGCUCCAAAAUUUGUGGAAUUUCUUUGCCUUGUCGAAGUAUCUUUCGCUCAGCACAUAUAGCAAUCGGCAGUGAAAGGGGCUUGUUAUCUACACUUCCUGGAGGCAGUGAAUAAACGUCAAUGGAGGAGUUUCCCAUAUAAGGUUUGAGUAAGGAAAUAUGAAACACCGGGUGAAUUCGACAAUCCGUGGGUAAAUCUAACUUGUUAGCAACAGGUCCAAUGCGCUCAACCACGGCGAAUGGUUCGUAAUAGCGCCUUGCCAGCUUGUGAGAUGAGCGUUUAGCAAUUGAUGCCUGACGAUAUGGCUGAAGGCGCACCAGCACUUUAUUAACCACCUGCAAUUGAGAUUCUCGGCGAUGUAAGUUAGCCUUUUGAGCCAUUCGGUGCUGACCUUGUCGUAAGUUCUCUUUCAAUGAGCAAAGCAUGGCAUCCCUCUCAAUUAACAUAUCUUCUAAAGCUUGGAUUGAAGUAGAGCCCUUUGAGUAACUUGGAAUUGUAGGAGGAAGUCGGCCAUAAAGGGCUUGAAAGGGAGUCAUACGCAAGCUGCUAUGAUAACUUGUAUUGUAGCAAAAUUCAGCCCAUCCUAAAAAUGAAGACCAUGUCUGUGGCUUGUCUUGUGUGAAGGCUCGUAAAUAUUGCUCAAGCCCCCUAUUAACUACUUCGGAUUGGCCAUCCGUUUGAGGGUGAUAGGUCAUGCUGUGGCGUAAUUGUGUCCCAUUUAAUUCAAACAAUUUCUGCCAAAAGUUGCUCAUGAAGAUAGGAUCACGAUAUGAAAUUAUAGAGGUAGGAAAUCCAUAUAACUUUACAACCAUGUCAACAAAUAAAUUUGCUGUUUUGACGGCAGUAAAUUGAGAAGGCAAGGCUCCAAAGUGAGCUGACUUUGACAAACGGUCCACAACAACUAGAAUUACUUCAAAUCCUCUCGAAAGUGGCAGCCCUAUAAUGAAAUCCAUGGUUAACUUAUCCCAAACUAAUGAAGGGACAGGCAAAGGUUGUAACAACCCCGUCGGCGCUUGAGUUGAAUAUUUAAUUUGCUGGCAAACAAGGCAAGCGGCUACAUGCUGCUCAACAUCUUUCCUCAUCUUAGGCCAAAAGAAAGUAGAUGAAAGACGUACCAAUGUCUUUUUAAUACCAGCAUGUCCUGCCAUAGGUGUCUUAUGAAAUUCUUUGAGUAGCACGGUUUUUAAUGAUGAGUGGGGGCUGAGAUAAUAUCGAUGUCGAAAUAGCAGUAACCCUUCUUGAACUGAGAAAUCAGAAGUGAGUGAACCAGCUGCGUACCUCUGAUGGAGUUACUUCAUAUCAAGAAGGGAGCAAUUUUCCUAGUGCAGAGCUGUCAAUAUUUCACUAGAAGGUUGACUUACCAACGACAAACAAAGAGUUGUUGGUUUGGGUUCUUCAAUCACAUUUUCCUCAUGAAUUCGCGAUAAAGCAUCAGCAGCUUUAUUGGAGUUACCAGCUUUAUAAUCAAUUCUGAAUUGAUAACCCAUCAACUUACGAAUGUAAAAUUGCUACUCUGGUGUGUGAAUAACUUGUUGAAACAAUUCCUUUAUGCUUUUAUGGUCAGUGCGUAUAAAGAAAAAUCGGCCAAUGAGGUAUUGACGCCAUUUUUGAACUGCAGUGACAAUGGCAUAUAAUUCCUUCAAAUAUGUCGAGGCUGCACGCAUUCGAGGACCCAACUUUUUGCUAAAAUAAGAUAGAGGAUGCCCGGCUUGCAUUAGCACAGCACCGAUCCCAACAUUAGAAGCAUUGGUCUCAAUGACGAACUCCAAGGUAAAAUUCGGCAAGUGAAGUACAGGAGCUUCCACAAGGGCCUUCUUUAAUGCUUGAAAAGCUUGAGUAGCUGUAGGAUUCCAAUGAAAAGCCUCCUUAUAGCCUUGAAUAAAACGUCGGUAGUACCCUGUCAGGCCCAAGAACCCUCUCAGUUGCUUCACUGAUUUCCGUAAAGGCCAAUCCACCAUGGCUGUGAUCUUUUGAGGAUCCGCAUGCACUCCUCGAGCCGACACAAUAUGGCCUAAAUAAUCAAUUGAUUCCUGACAAAAUAAACAUUUGGAGAGUUUGACAUAAAAUUGAGAUGUGUAUAAACAACUCAUGACCUGCUCCAAAUGAUACACAUGAUCAGCCAAUGAUGCACUAUAUACCAAUAUAUCAUAAAAAAAAAAUAAUAACAAAUUUGUGUAAAAAGGAAGCAAAUAGUUGGUUCAUUGUUGCUUGAAAAGUAGACGGCGCGUUGGUCAAACCGAACGGCAUAACAAGAAACUCAUAGUGUCCUUCAUGCGUGCGAAACACUGUUUUAUAAGUAUCCCUUUUGUGAACUCUUAUCUGGUGAUAUCCGGCUCGUAGAUCAAGUUUACUGAAAAUCUGAGCACCGCCCAGUUCGUCAAACAAUUCAUCAAUGGUGGGGAUGGGAAAUUUGUCCUUUACUGUCACCGCAUUCACAGCGCGGUAAUCCACACAGAAUCUAUACGAGCCAUCUUUUUUCUUUACUAGCAUUACCGGUGAAGAAAACGGGCUUUGGCUGGGUUUUAUGAUGCCUUGGGUUAGCAUUUCUCUCACCAAUUUCUCCAUUUUGGUUUUUUGAAAAUAAGGAUACCGAUACGGGCGAACGUUGACUGGUUUGGAAUUGGGAAUAAGAUGUAUUUUGUGAUCAAAUAACCAUUGAGGGGGAAGACCAGUGGGUGAAGUAAAUAAUGCUUUAAAUUUUUGAAGGAGAGUAGUAAUAGAUUCAGGCAACGACUCUGGUAAUGCUAAGUCAUUAUCCGGUAAUGUGUUGGUAGAUGUGUGAGUUGCUGAUGGUUCAGUUGGUAGAGAAUGAAGUUCAAAUAAGCUGUCGAUUUUGGAAUUGGAUAGCAAGGCCUAAAAUUGAUUAAAAGAGAUCAGAUUUGGGUUUGGAAUUGUGUCUCCACGUAAAAUGACAGAUUGUCCCUCCUACUUAAACUCCAUUGUCAUCUCAGAGUAAUCCAUAGAAAUUCUUCCCAAGCUUUGUAACCAUUGGAUCCCAAGGACAACAUCUGGGCCUUCGAUUGGCAACAAGAAGAAGUCCAAAAGAAAUUCAUGCCCCUGCAUAUUGAUAGGCACCUUAGGGCAGAGAAAACGACAAGUGAGAAAAUCACCAUUGCCAAUGUAAACUCGAAAAGGAGUUAUAGCUUGAACGGAAAGGCCAAGUCGUUCAGCCAAUGGCGGCUUAAGAAAAUUAUGAGUACUGCCACUGUCGAUUAAACCCUGAAACUGAUAGCUUGCAAGGAUGCCCAGCACCCUUAAAGAUCGUGGAUUAGAUUGUCCAGUCAAGGCAUUCAAACUGGAUAUGUCAGCUGUGACUACUUCUUCCGGUUGUUCAUGAAUAAAAGUGUCAUCACUCGGCUCAUCAUCUUCAUCAUCGGUACCCAUUAAUAACAGAAACUUGCUACGACAGCGAUGUGUGGCAUGAUAUUUUUUGUCACAAUUGUAACAUAGCCUUUUUUCUCUUAUCUCUCUUAACUCUGCUGGAGUUAAUCUAUGAAUGGGCAGGGUAGGAGUAGGCAAUAAUGAGGGUUGAGGUGGUUGUUUAGUGGCUGACAAACUAGGAAGAGGAGUUGUUGUUUGGGUUUUAUACAGUGCAGGAUUUGGUGAAGCAGUAAUGAGGGUGUCCAUUUUGUCCAAGAUCGGCUGGAGGUCUUGAUUUCUUCCGAUCGUGCCUCAUAAGCUUUGGCUAGGGCAAAAGCCUCCAUGAGAGAUGUGGGUCUUGCAACGUAUAUCGGGUUUUAAGCCCGUGAUAAAGAAACUAACCAGCAGUGGUUCGGAGAUGCCCGUGACCUUGUUCAUCAAAUCCUCAAAGGCAGAUUGAAAAUCAGCAACAGUCGAUAUUUGGGUAAGUUUGGAGAGGUUACCUUGAUGAUCUUCAUACAUAGAUGUACCAAAUCUUUGCUUAAGAUUGAGUAAAAAAUUCUGCCAAGUGCUUAGCAAGUUGUUGGCCUUCAUCCAUUGAUACCAUGCUGCUGUUUUCCCCUCUAUGUGAAAAGAUACAAUACGGAGGCGUAAAUGGUCAGGGGUGCCAUGAAAAUCGAAGAACUCAUUGAUGCAAAAAUCCCAACCAUUCGGAUCAGUGCCAUCAAAUUUUUGGACAUCCAUUUUCAUAGAACGCAACAGAGGAGAGAUAUCAGUAACACCUGACAGUACAGGCGAAGACGUUGGUUCCGGCACCGUUGGACGGGAAGAACCCACUGAAGCUCCGACGGAACCAUUGAUUUGGGAACGUAACUCCUCAAAUCGAGAAUCAACCGUGGACAUAUAUUGCUGUAAGGUCUGAUAAACAGCAAGCGUUUGAUUUUCAAUGAGCGUCUUCAUGGUAGAGAGAAUCGUUGAAUCAGUCGUUGGCUCUGUGAUAGUCAUUUUUUUUUUUUAUGUGAAAGAGAUGAAAUGCAAUGAAAGCACCAGUUGAUACGACACUCUUAGAGCGAGUGCAGGCUCCAAUCGGUUUAGAAAAGAAUUUGAGCAAGAAAACUGAGACAGGGGAAGUGCAGAGAAAGAAGGGAGACAAAGUGGAGAAUAAGACAAAUGAUAUUUUCCUUGAAUGACCUCACGGGUCCUUUGACAGUACAAAUAUAUUCUUCCUACCGAAACAGCCACGCACCCUUAACUAACUAAAUAUAAUAAAAUCGAUAAUAGCAGCAAAACAAUAAUUGAAAAUAGGACAAUAUUCGUUAUUCUAAUAUCCCAAGCAUUCUCGAACUUUCUUCAAAUAACAAAGUCUUUGAGCCAUCUUGGUUUCUUUCUCGCGCGAGCUGGACCUAUCUUGAGCUGCUUUCUAGCUUGAUUCUCAUUCAAGGGUUGGGCUUCUUCCAUUUCUGUAGGUUGGGUUUCUUCCCUUGCAGUCUCCUUGAGCUCAAUCUGAUUCACAGCAAUGGACCAAGUCGUAAGGCCAUUUGAAGUGUAAAGAAGGGUAGCUAUUGAUGGAUAAGUUAUGGGUCAGAAGGAGUCAAAAUUCGAUAAAACCUUUUGGGAUUGUAUGUAACAACAUUUUUUUUUCUCGGUUGGAUCUCAGUGUUUAUACAAAAGCAAAGAUUGGAUGACUAAAAUGUGACGCUAUACUUAUAAAGUAGAGAUAUAGAGUUUAUCACCAGUGUAACAUAUACAUGGUCUUUACACAAUUCACCAUAUGACAGUGAGAUGAUGAUAAGGUAAAUUAUCAAUUGAAAACAUGACAGUUUGUAGUAAUGUUAGAUCAUAUGAUAUGCUUAUUGAGUUAAUGGUCAGGUUCGGUCCAAUUGAAUAAGUCUAAAGUAGUAGUAAAGUUGAAUAAGUCUAAGUUAGUUGAGUUAUUAUCAACUUAGUUUGUCAAGUAUCCAGUUCUUGAUUUGUUGAGAUUUAUUUUGUUUCAUUCAUGUUUCUCUUUGGUCUGGCUUGUAUAAAUUAGCCAUUGUUGAAUAAUGAAGGCAUGAAUCAUUUUAUCAAAGAAAUACUUGUGUUACAUCUUGGAAGGAUUGGCUUCCUCGAAUUAGCCAACUGUUAACGUUAACCAAGUGUAAGGGCAAGAUAGGAAGAGACAAACAGAAUAAAUAUAGCUUGCCUGUACCAUCAUAUGUCACACUAGUUGAGAUUGAAAUAUAAAAUUAAGAAGACCUAUACUCGAAGUGGUUCUAACACAUUGUAGAUGCAAUUCAAUGCUUGAAUGGAUAUUUGCGAUGGAAUAUGAUUCUCUCCUGAUCUGAGCACUACUAAACUUUUAGACAAGGUUUACUCGACAUAGAAACAUUGUGAAGUUUUAUGGAUUUUGCUCACAAGCCCGACACUCUUUUAUGGUCUAUGAAUUUCUUGAAAGGGGUAGCCCAUGUCUUACUUGCACCAUGACUGCUUUCCUCCGAUUGUCCAUCGAGACAUAUCAAGUAAGAACUUGUUGCUGGAUUUGGAAUAUGAAACUCAUGUUGCAGACUUUGGAAUUGCUAAGUUUCUGAAGCCAGACUCUUCCAACUGGUCUGAAUUUGCAGGCACAUAGGGAUACGUUGCACCAGGUAUUUAGUAUUCGUUUGUUGCCAAUUUGAGGAAUAUUUUUAUGUUAUGGGUGUGGUAACAGGACAAUGUACCUAAACAUUGUUGAAAAAAAUUUGUACCUAAACAUUGUUGACAAAAAUUAUGUAGUACAUUCAGUAGACUUGUAAAAGCUUACUAGUUUAUGCACAUUUAUCUUAGAAACAGAGUAAACAAUUUCUUUUUUUUCUUUUGUUUCUUUUUGUCCUUGACCUUGCAGAGCUUGCUUACACAAUGAAGAUCACAGAGAAAUGCGAUGUGUACAGUUUCAGAGUGUUAGUGUUGGAAGUGAUCAAAGGGAAGUAUCCAAGAGAUUUUCUUUCUUCGAUUUCAUCUUCAUCUCUCAACACGGAUAUAGCACUUGAUGAAAUGUUGGACCGAUGAAAUGUUGGACCUGCGUCUUCCAACUCCAUUGAGCAAUAUUCAAGAUAGACUGCUAUCAAUCAUGGAGGUUGCAUUUUCGUGCUUAGAUGGGAAUCCAGAAUUGCUACCAACCAUGGAGACAGUCAGUCAAUUAUAAUCUAAUAAUUACGAAUAAUCCCGAGGGGUUGGAGACUAAGAUUUAAGGUGAACGGCCGCGGAGGAGUCAGAACCAUUCACUGAAAUAAUUGCCAUAACCUCAGCAUAGUAAUAAUUAAAAAAUAAUUUCUUGCUCAUGUACAAAGAGGUGAACCCCUCGAAUGUAAACUUGAAAGUGUUCACAACUGGAUUAAUUAAUGGACAAUUCAUAGUUAUUGUUAAUGUUAAAAGAAAGUAAUGGAUUGGGAAAAAAAAUAAAAAAUUAAGGAUAAUUUACAAUUAAUGUAGUCCUUGUGAUUUAAGGAAAAAUCAAGUAAGCCGGAAAUAAUUAGUACUAUUUUUCAAAUAAGUCCUCUGACCGUGUUUGACCAUUCAUCGUACUGCAAAGUAAGCAAAAAAAUCGACUUCUUAGCAGCCCACUUCUAUGAUGCGAUUAAUUUCAUCCAUUCGCUGAUUCGCGUGCUGGUAGUUAGGCAAGUUCAUUUGUUGGCUGGAGAAAUUUGAUAUUUUUGGUACCAAAUUUAUACGUGUGUGCGUGUGUGUUUCCUUUAAUUUGUGAAUUUGGUAUUACUUCUGAUCAAGUGUGCGAAACAGAAACAACGGUAUUUAUUACAGAAAUAUUUCUAAUUUGCAGUAUGGAAAGCUUGGAGAUGUUAAAUCUAUCCCAAAAUAACCUGUCAGGUUCAAUUCUAAGUAAUUUUGAAGAAAUGCAUGGCUUGUCAUUGGUUUAUGCAUCUCCUACAUUGAAUUACAGGGCCCAAUUCCAGUUGACAGAUACCCAUUUGGCGUCCGUAUGGACAAACUUGACACUCCCGCUGCCAGAUAUGUUCCAAAAUCUACUUAUAGCCAUAAUUUUGAUACAAAAGGCAAUGGAAUUAUUGACCCUUAUAAAUUAUGAAUUACAUCCUAAUCUAGUUGCUUAAUUUUGGAUAGAAAAUCUUGCUUUGAUCAUUAUACCGCUUAGAAAUAUCAAAUUCCAAGGCUCGUCAUUAAUUGGGAUAAAAUUUUAUAUCUCAGCUUUCUAAAUAAUUUACUUAUCAUUCAAAUAUAAAGUGGCCAGAGGACAUGCCGAGCGUCAAAAUGAAAGGAGAGAGGAGUAGUAGAUAAGAUACGGGUUAGAAGGAGUCACAACUUUUUUUUCCUUUUCCCCUGUUUGAUCUCAGUAUUUAUAUAAAGCAAAGAUUCGAUGACUAAAACAUGACGCUACUUAUAUAAUAUAGAGAGAGAGAUUUAUGGGUUCUGAUCUAAUGGGUAACGUGUGAAGGCCCACGUGUCCAUAAGACAAGCGAUGGUGUCUACCAGAUUAGUUCUCUGGAGUUUAGAUCACCGGGUAACACAGACAUUGACUCCUUCACUUCUCAAUUGCUCUUUUGCUUUCGCUGUAAUUGUUUUCUGCAACGUCAUUAAAUUAUAAAUGAGUGUUUGAUAACCUUUUCAAUUUCAAUCAACUUUUGUAUUACCUUAAUUAUUUUGUUUCCUUUCUGCGUAAUUGAUCUUGUGUUUUUAUAAUAUCAAUGGUAUCACAAACCUUGAAUACAGUAUCUUUUACUGUUUUGUUGAUUCUAUUUUAUACGUGUUUGUAUUAGAAUUUUUACUUAUCAUUGAAAAACCCGGGGAUGAAAUCUAACACGUACUAAUUAAUUAAAUUUAUUUCAUAAUAAUAAACUAAAUUAAUUUUUUUAAUAAUUUGAUAACUUUACCUUAAAAGCAAAACUUUGAUACGAAUUAUAACGCUUACUAUGGCAUGAACAUGGACCCUUUUUUCCCAAUCCAAAGCUUAUCCUAUGUUUGGCAAGGUUUUAUAUACUGGGAGAGGGAUAAAUAGAGAAAAACAUAUCUAUUGGAACCGUACCUCCAACAGGAUAAGUUGGGAAAAGCAAUCAAUAAUUUAACUAAUUAAUUAAAAUUAUUAAAAAAAAAAAAAGGUUGAGGGAGGGACAAAAUCAAAAUUAUUUUUUAUCCUUUACCUCCCCAUGAUACUAUCCAGUCAGGGCCUAGAGACAAAUUAAAUUAAUUAUUACUAAGAUAACAAUAUUAUAGGUAAAACAACUUAUUCUAAUUGAAUUAUUUAAUGAUACAUAUAUUACAUAAAUUAAAAAAUUAUAGAAAUUUUUAUUUAUAUUUAAUUAACUUCCAUUUACAUUGAUUCAAAUAAUAAGCAGUACCAAAUUUUUUUUUUGUUAAUAAUAUAAAAUAUGUUAUUGGCAAUAAUAAAAGAAUGUAUUACAAAUAAUAAUACAUUUAAAUAUCUUGUAAUUUAGAUGUAUAUUUUUAUUAUUUAUUUCAUGUGGGAAUCCUCCUUGUUUUUCAGCAUCAAGUUCGUUUGAUUUAUUUAGUCUCAUUUAAAUAUCUUGUUCUUCCUUUUAAAAUGUAGUUCUUGUUGUAAUAACUAAUGAUUAGUAUUUUCCAGAUAAGUUCUCUGACCGUUUUUAAUCAUUAACUAACAAUUCAUAUUUUUAACGUUUAUUAAGAAUUUUAGGUUUGUCUAUAAAUAAAUGAAAGGAAUUAAUAACAAAUUUAGUGAAGGAUGAACAAUUUUGGUAGAGUUAGGAUGUAAACGAAAAUAUAAACAAUUAAUUGUGGCAUUAAGUAUGAGAAAAACUCAAUCUAGACCACUCAUAUUUUGAUAUAUCAUUUGUCAUUAGAUCUUUAAAAGUCUAAUAAACUAAGGGUUACAAAUCCUUUUUUUUCUAACGUGCUCGAGUUCUACAGGACAUUGGAGAAGUCCUAGAAAAUUGAUCAAGGCAACCUGGCUACAAUUGAUAGAAAGGAAACGUUUAAAGUGGCUUGAUUAAUUUACAAGAACCCGGUUCGCGAGUCCAUGGUUUCUCUAGGAAGCCUCAGUCGGCUUGCGGUACCACAAUUCAUAGAAGCAUAAAAAAUAGCUUGAUGUAACAAAGAUUUGUGCGUUCUUUUAAAUUCAGCAUUUGAGUUCGUUAUGAUGAAGGGUCAGAAUCAAUCACUAAAACAAGUGCCAUAACCUCAGCAUUGUAAUAAUUAAAAAAUAAUUUCUUGCGCAUGUACAAAGAGGUGAACCACUCGAAUGUAAACUUGAAAAGUGUUCACAACUGGAUUAAAUAAUGGACAAUUCAUAGUUAUUGUUAAUGUUAAAAGAAAGUAAUGGAUUGGGAAAAAAAAUAAAAAAUUAAGGAUAAUUUACAAUUAAUGUAGUCCUUGUGGUUUAAGGAAAAAUCAAGUAAGCCAGAAAUAACUAGUGCUAUUUUUCAAAUAAGUCCUCUGACCGUGUUUGACCAUUCACCGUACUGCAAAGUAAGCGAAAAAAUCGACUUCUUAGCAGCCCACUUUAUGAUGCGAUUAAUUUCAUCCAUUCGCUGAUUCGCGUGCUGGUAGUUCGGCAAGUUAAUUUGAUGGCAGGAGAAAUUUGAUAUUUUUGGUACCAAAAUAUAUACAUAUGUGUGCGUGUGUGUGUUUCCUUUAAUUUGUGAAUUUGGUAUUACUUCUGAUCAGGUGUGCGAAACAGAAACAACGGCAUUUAUACAGAAAUUUUUCUAAUGUGCAGUAUGGAAAGCUUGGAGAUGCUAAAUCUCUCCCAAAAUAACCUGUCAGGUUCAAUUCUAAGUAAUUUUGAAGAAAUGCAUGGCUUGUCAUUGGUUUAUGCAUCUCCUACAUUGAAUUACAGGGCCCAAUUCCAGUUGACAGAUACCCAUUUGGCGUCCGUAUGGACAAACUUGACAUUCCCGCGGCCAGAUAUGUUCCAAAAUCUACUUAGCCAUAAUUUUGAUACAAAAGCCAAUGGAAUUAUUGACCCUUAUAAAUUAUGAAUUACAUCCUAAUCUAGUUGCUUAAUUUUGGAUAGAAAAUCUUGCUUUGAUCAUUAUACCGCUUAGAAAUAUCAAUUUGGGAUAAAAGUUUAUAUCACAGCUUUCUAAAUAAUUUACUUAUCAUUCAAAUAAUUAAUUGUGGCAUUAAGUAUGAGAAAAAGUCUAAUAAACUAAGGGUUACAAAUCCUUUUUUUUCUAACGUGCUCGAGUUCUACAGGACAUUGGAGAAGUCCUAGAAAAUUGAUCAAGGCAACCUGGCUACAAUUGAUAGAAAGGAAACGUUUAAAGUGGCUUGAUUAAUUUACAAGAACCCGGUUCGCGAGUCCAUGGUUUCUCUAGGAAGCCUCAGUCGGCUUGCGGUACCACAAUUCAUAGAAGCAUAAAAAAUAGCUUGAUGUAACAAAGAUUUGUGCGUUCUUUUAAAUUCAGCAUUUGAGUUCGUUAUGAUGAAGCUUCUGAGUUUCUUAAUCACCUAGAUAACAUCCUUUAUUGGCGGAGUCAAGUAUAAAAGGUGCUGAUGGGCAGGUGUGUCAAAGCAGAGUGAUUUGUGAUUAUCACACCAGUGAUCUUUACUAGCUCGGAGUGAAAAGAUCAUCCUUGUAAUCUUGUUAAUACUCUCUAUAUAUAACUUUACUCUCUUCUGAAAUCGAUUAAUCAAAUUUUUCAUUCACCUUUCAGAGCUUGCUUAAACAUACUGAAUAUUUGCCUUCCUUUUUCCUUCAGGGUAGUUACUAAAAGUUUUAUAGUCUUGAGCAUGAUUUUAUUGUCAAAGUAUAAAUUUAUUCUUUGCUUUUUACGCUUAAUUCUGCAUGACUUUCUCUCAAAUAAGCAAAUUAAUUUGCAAAUUAUGCUCAAAGUGUUGUAUCCAUUUUUUUAAUGUUAAUUAUAAGCAUUCCCUCUAAAUGAAUAUGAUCAAAUUGUUACAUGGUCCAAAUUAGAAUUACGGUCACAAUGUUAGUAUACCAGAAAUCUGGCUAGGAUCGAGAAAUAAAACUUAGUUUUGUUUGUUAAGCUGGUUGAUAUGAAUAUGAAAAGAUAUUGUAAUUCAACUUUUAAAGUCUCUUUAAUUUGUCUCGAACAUUUUGAUAACUUAAACAAAGUAUGUACAUUUGAUGACAAAAAAAGAAGGGUAUUGGAAAAGCCAACCCCAAAAUAUUUAGUCUUUCCGCUCUUUCUCUGGCAUAAUUUUCGGGGAGACAAAAUGCCCAGCAAACAAGUUAAUUUGAUCCGUUAGGAUCGAAAGAAACGUUAAUUAGUCAAUUCGAUCGUCCAAUUAUCUUGGUCACAAAUGUUUAUUCUAUUUUCUGGGACGACUUUCCAUGGACUUUAAUUGUAGUUCGAAGGAGAAUGGCUAUCAAUACAAAGAUUUUUUUAACAGAACCGCAUGCAGCAAGUGAACCUUUUGUUUGGAUAAUUUUAAUAUCCUAGAUGUCUUUGAAAACUUUUGCCUUAAGCAAUGGGGGAAAACUCUUCCCUACUUGAUCAGACUUUGACUCAUACGCCUCUCAAAUGCUUGUUUAGAGAAAGCUUGUGGGCACGAUCCCCAUACCCCUAGAAACACUCCACACGUUCAAAAUACAAAAGGUAUAUGAGGAGGGAACGAUAGAAGAGCAAGGCAAAAAAAAAAAAACUAAUUCAAAACAAAGUCAAUACCUUUACAAGAAUUCCACAUCUUUGCUAACUUAAGCAUCGGAGUGGAAUUCGGAAAUCUCAUUUUCCAAUUGUCCCAUUUCACAUUUUGGUUUAUUAUGUGUGCAAAUGACUUCCAUCUACCGCACUUGGUUCAGUUCACAUAGAAAAGAAAUACGUAUUAACAAUCCCAUAUAUUUUUUUAUUAUAUUUCUGAUAUGACUUUUCAUGUCCUUGCAUUAUAUAAAUUAAAAAAAAGGAGAAAGAGAGAGAGAAUUGAAGAAUCUUCCCGGAAAAAACAUUAACGUCAAUUCAAUCCCAGAAAUUAUGCAAUUCACUGUAAGCUAAUCCGCCUUAACAAAGCUUGAAAACGUACGUGCCGAGAGUUUUUAUUAUAAUUUCUUAUUGCUAUUUAAAUUAGGUAGUUGCGCAAGCGAACUUGAAAAUGACAUGCAAUUUUAUGAGCUGGCAUUGAUUACAUUGUAAACCAUGCAUGCGAUCUUCACUGUCAGCCAUCAAUGAUAAUGGAGGUUCUUAUGUUGAGUUUUAUUACAGUCUCUGAUUCAUACAUAUCAAGCAUUUAGUGACAGAAUAAAUUCAAAGAAUUAGACUGUAAUUUUUUAUAAAAAUUACUUCGGUUCUCUUUUUGGUGGUGCAAGGAUCAUUGACAAUAACUUAUCUUGGGACCAUACCUUUUUAUCCUGAGCCCACACUCUUACAAGGUAAAAUCAAUAGUUUUUUAUAUCAUGAGUGACAGAGAAUUUGUUUCCCAACUUUUUACAUAUAUUAUUAAUAUAAAGAGAACUUUACAUGGAGUGAUUUAAUUUAUAUAAAACUGAGCUAACAUACUGUUUUUUUUUUUUUGGCUAAAACUUUUUUAAGUAAUGACGACUAACAAAAAUUUUCACUUACAUAUUCGAGUUCCAACAUAGCAUGCCAGUGAAAAAAAUAAAAAUAAAAAUUGAAAAAAAUAAAACGUCAUCUUACUGUUUAUUUGAUGAAAACCAAAUGUUUAAAGUGACUUGAUUUACAAGAACCCGAUUAGCGAGCCCAUGCUUUGCGUAGGUAGCCUCAGUAGCCCUGCGUUGUAAUAAUUAAUAUAAGCAUCAAAAAUAAAAUUUGUUUUGAUGUAACAAAGAUUUGUACUUACUAAAUUCGGCAUUUCAGUUCGUUAUGGUGAAGUUUCUGAGUUUCUUAAUCAAGUAGAAUAGCAUCCUUUAUUAGCCGAGUCCAGUAUAAAAUUAAGGUGCUGAUGGGCAGAUGCCAAAGCAGAGUGAUUUGAGAUUAUCACACCAGUGAUCUUUGCUGGCUCUGGGUGCAAAGAUAAUGUUUGUAAUCUUGUUAAUACUCUGUAUAAAUAAUACUCUCUUCUGAAAUCCGUUGAUCAUAUUUGUCUUUCACCUUGCAGAACUUGCUUACACAAUGAAGAUUACUGCAUAUUUGUCAUUUCUUUUUUCCAAGGAAAUUAUUAUGACAGUAUUGAUUUUUGAAAUGAUUGUUUGCAAAUUUUCUAGUUUAAAAUUAAGUAUGGAUUUAUUACCAAAGUACGUUUAUUCUUUGCUUUAUGCUUAAUUCAUCAUUACUUGCUUACAGAUAAGUAAAUUAAUUUGAAAAUUAAGCUCGAAGUGUUAUAUCCAUUCUUCCAAUAUUAAUUACAAGCAUUCAAUAUGAUGAAACUGUUACAAGGUGCAAAUCAAAAUUAUGGUAACAAUGUUAGUAAAUUGGAAAGCUAGCUAGUCUCGACAAAUUCAAUACAGUCUUGUCUAUUAAAUUUGUCGAUACGAAGGUGAAUAGCAACUAUAAUUCAACAUUUAAAGCCUCUCUAUCGCACUCAUUUUAAGAUCUUAACAACGUACAUUUGAUGACAAAAAAGAAGGGUAUGGAAAAGCCAACCCCAAAAUAUUUAGAAUUUCCAUUCUCUCUCUGGCGUAAUUUUCGGGGAGGCAAAUGCCCAGUGAACAAAAGUUUGAUCAAUCAAUGAUUGGAUCCAAAGAUACGUUAAUUAGUCAAAUCUUUCCAUUCAUUUUGAUCACAAAUGUUUAUCCUAUUUUGUGGGACGACUUGCCAUGGACUUUAAUUGUCGUUGGAAGGGGAGUGGCUAUCAAUACAAAGAUUAUUUUGACAAAAUUGCAAACGUUUUGUUUGGGUAAUUUUAAAAUCGUAGAUGCCUUUUAAGACUUUUGCCUUAAGCAACAGGGAAAACUCUUCCCUACUUGAUCAAGCCAACCCCAAAGUCUAAAUCGUAGAACGUUUCUAUAUAAUUUUGGCUCGCGUGGAAAAAGCUACUCGUGGAUUCCUCCUAAUAACUCCAAUGAUUUUUCCUGAAAUUAAAACCAUAAUCUUUAGCCUUUAACCAUUUAGACUUUGGGCACGGACGAACGGUGUGUUAUGUAGUUCAUAGUUGAAGUGAAAACGGUCUAUAUUUUAGCCAAUACUCGGUUUAUGAAAACAUAUAUAUUUGUGAUCAAGAUUAAUGGACAAAUUGAUUAACGCUUUUUGUAUCCUAAAUAAACUUGUUUACUGGGCAUUUCUCCCAAAAAGAUCGCGCCAAUCUAAGAAAGGAAAAAUAUUGGCCGUACAGCACAGGGUGUUAGUUGGAAGAAAGGAAAAAUAUUGGGCGUACAGCACAGCUGCACAACCUUAAUAUCAAACGGACUCUAAAUCUAUUUGCAGAGGUACGUAAGUUCAAUUGUUGGUUUGAGAAAUUUGAUUUUUGUUGAACUGCUUUUGGCCGGGGGGGGGGGGGGGGGGGGAAUCUCUCUUCCCACAGCAGAACUGAUGUAAAUCUAAACAGGUUUAGGGUUUAUUAAAUCAUAUACUCGGGUGAGAUUCCAAAAGAACUUUGAAAGCUAACUAAUCUAAUGGAACUCAUUUUUUAGGGCGAAAGGAAUCAACUUACAGGACAUAUACCUUCAAAAAUUAGAUCUCUUAUUAUUUGAACUCAUUUUUUUGUGUGGGCUGACUCCAUCGGUUGCCCCACAAAAGUCAAUGCAGUCCGCAAUAGUUGUACCCUAAAGCAUUAUAAUUUUUCUAUUGCCAUUUAAAUUGGUAGUUGCGAAUGAGAUUAGAGUUUUAUGAGCCACCAAUACUAAUGGAGGAUCUUAUGUUGAGUUUUAUUAGCGUCUCAAAAUUCUAAACUUUUUUUUUUUUUUAAAAAAGUCCUGUACGCUGAUGGCGUAUGUAUUUUACGAUCUGGGAUUCAUACAUAUAAGGCAUUUAGUGACAGAAUAAAUUCAAAUUAGACUCGGACCACACCAUUUUAUCCUGAGCCCACACUCUUAUAAGGUAAAAUCAAUAAUUUUUAUAUCAAGAAGUGACGUAAAAUUUGUUUCCCAAAUUUUUAAAUAUAUUAUUAAUUUAAGGAGAACUUCACGUGAAGUGAUUUAAUUUGUAUAAAAAUGAGCUAACUUACUGCUUUUUUUUUUUGCUAUAAUUUGUAAGUAAUAACGUCUGCACUAAUGAAAAGUUUCAAUUAGAUAUACAAGUUCCAAUAUAUUAUGCUAGUCAUUAAACAAUAAAUAAAUAAAUAAGCAAAACAUCAUUUACUGUUUAUUUCAUGGAAACCAAAUGUUUAAAGUAACUUGAUUUAAAAAAACCCGGUUCGCGAGUCCAUGUUUUGUCUGGGAAGCCUCAGUAGCCUUGCGUUAUCACAUCACAAUUAGUAGAAGCAUCAAAAAUAGCUUUUGUUUUGAUAUAAUAAAAGGUGUGUCAAAGCAUAGUGAUUCGCGACAACCACAAAUGUGAUCUUAACUAGCUCUCUGUGAAAAGCUCGUCUUUGUAAUCUUGUUAAUACUCUAUAUAUAUAAAUAUACCCUAUUCUUAGAUCAACUGGUUAAAUUUGUCUUUCACCUUGCAGAGCUUGCUUAGAUAUACUGGAUAUUUGUCUUCUUCUUUUUUUAGGCCAAUUAGCACGACAUUAUUAAGAUUAGAUACGAUUCCUAAUCAAAUAAAAAUUUUAAAGCAUGAAUUUAUUGUCAAAGUAUUAUUUUUUGCUUUUUACGCUUAAUUCAUCAUGAUUAAUUUGAUCUCAGAUAAGUAAAUUAAUUUGUUAUGCUCAAUGUGUUAUAUACAUUCUCCUACUAUUAAUUAUAUCUAAAUGAAUAUGAUCGAACUGUUACAUGAUCCAAAUUAAAAUUAUGGCCACAAUGCUAGUAAAUUGGAAAGCUAAGCUAGCAUCGCUAAAUUGAACUUAGUUUUCUUUGUUAAACUGGUUGAUAUGAAUAUGACAAGAAAUUGUAAUUCAAGUUUUAAAGUCUCUCUGUCUCAACCAUUUUAAUAUCUUAAUAAAAAGGUACAUUUUAUGGCAAAAAAUAUUUAGACUUUCCAUUCUCUAUCUGCCAUAAUUUUGGGGAGAAAAAUGCCCAGUAAGCAAGUUUGAUCAGUCGCUGUUAGGAUCCAAAUAAAUGUUACUUAGUCAAUUAAUUUGUCCAUUAAUCUAGACCGCAAAUGUUUAUUCUAUUUUCAUAAGUCAACCCCAGACCUUGGGCAUGGAUUUUUUUUUAAAAAAAAUUGUCAUAAUAUGAGAAUCUAAAAAUUUAGAUUUAUCGUGUGUUUACUUGUGAAAUCGGGAAAUCGAAAUUCACAGUGAGAAUGAUUUUGAAAUUGUUAUUUUCGACUUGUUAAAAUGGAAUGAAGAAUCAGAAUGAAAUAUGCAGGAUCCACAUAUUUUUGAGUCAAGGAAAAGAAAUUUGAUUCACAUGAGAUUGAGAAUCAAGUUUUCAUUCCUUGAACUCACCAUUUUACCCCCCCCCCCCCCCCACCCCCUUCACAUUUCAUAAUUUCAAUUUUGUGCUCAAUUAAAAUGUUAUUAUAUUAAUGUAAUAAUAAUAAUGAUAAUUUUUAAAAUAACAAUAAUAAUCAUAAUAAUGAUAAUAUAAUAAUAAUGAAAAUAACAACAACAAUAGUAAUAAUAACGAAAAGUAAUAAUAUUAAUAAUCACAAUAAUAAUAAUGAAAAUAUAAUACUACUAUAAAUAACUAUUAUAAUGAUAGUAAUAAUACUUUGCAAUUACUAAUUUCAUCAUUUCACAAAUCACCUCCAGUGGCGGAUCUUGGGCACCUUGCGGAUCUUGUCGUUUAUGAUACCCACCUUUUAAAAGAAGAAGAUGAGGAUGACGAUGAUGUGGUGUGUGUGCGUGUUACAAGAUGAGGAUGACGUUUGGUUUUAAGAAAGAGGAGGAGAGGAGGGGUAAAAAAUGGAGAGGAGUGGAGAGGUAAUGAGAGGAUAGGAGUGCAAAAAUUGAUAUUUAUUGUUUGGUUUCAAUAAAAAAAAAUUAAAAGGGAAAGGAAUUACAUGUUUUUUUUAAUUUGGACAAGUAUACCCAUUGGAAUUUAGUGUUAAAAUGUUAAUAUUAGCAGUAAAUAUAAUAAAAAUAAUUAAACUAUAAGUUAAAUUAAUCUAUAUUAUAAACUAAAAAGAAAACAUUUGAUUUUAUAUUAUAUUUUUAAGUCAUUCAUUAUUAUUUUAUAAUCAAAAUAACUAACCAACAAGUAGUGGAUGGACGACUACAAGUCGUAUAUCGACGUAGAAGAACAUGACAUACGGCUCAAACGGUGAUUGAUUUACUGAACUGCAACCAAAGGAACCAUUUUUUGGAUAAUUUCAGAGCAAUAGUAUUCAGACUACUAUGUAAAAAAUAUCCUAAUCUUGGAAAACUUUUCCACCUUAUGAAACAUUGGAAAAAUCUUCCAACUUGACGCAUCGACUUGUUGACCUCUCAAUUGCUCGUGUGUGGCUUCUAUAAAUUUGGCGUCCAACAUGCUGGUUUUGUGCACCGUUACAUGUUUUUCAAAAGCUAAGAAUGAUCAAAAGAUCUUUUGAAUUUCGAUAAACUCCGGUUUAACAUUAUUUAUUUGAUUGUGUUUUUGUAAUAUCAAUGGGGUCACCAACCCUCAAUACAGUUGUUCUUUCACUUGUUUUGUUGAUCUUAUUUUUUGUGAUUAAGUUUUUUAGUAGCUGUUUCUUCAGAAACUAAUGAAGAAGCGGAUGCUCUUCUCAAAUGGACAGCCAGCCUUCAAAUCUAUAACCGAUCUCUCCUUUCUUCUUGGAUUAAGGACACCUCCAAUGUUUCAUCCAAAAUAAGCCCAUGUGCUUGGUCCGGAAUCAGUUGCAUGAUGCCGGAAGAGUCAUCAAGAUCAGCCUCCCAGGUGUCGGAUUAAAAGGUAAGCUUCACGAUUUCUCAUUCUCAUCGUUUCCUCAUCUUGCUUAUCUUGAUCUCAGUAGUAGUGGACUCUUUGGUACUAUCUGUUGUGCGCGGAAUGCGGAAUCAAGCGCACCAAAUAAUUACUGAAAAAUAAAGGACACAAGAAUUUACGUGGUUCGGUAAUUAAACCUAUAUCCGCGAAGGCAAGAAAGAAUAAUUGUUUAUUUAACAAUUAAUAGAAUACAAUAUUUGAGUAACGAAUCUCACUUCCCAGAAACCCAAAUAUACCCAGUACUCUCACACUCUGCAGGAAAGAUAAAUUCCUCAGACACACUUCUCUCACUUCUCUCAAAAGCUUAGAAACUUAUAAGCUUAACAAUUUUGGGAUAAUUAAGAAUGGAAGAAGUGCCAUCUAUUUAUAGGGAAAAUAAUGGCACUAUUGCACCAACCCAUUUACUAUUCCACCUAACCUAAGCCAAUAGUCAAUGGUGUCCAUUUGGCAAAUUUGACAAAUUUGCCAACUUUCCAUUUUUUCUUCAAAUGUUUGGUAGCCAUUUGAAAUUUUGCAUUCAUUUUUGAAUUUCAAUGUCACGUGCAUGACUUUUCAACAAUUCUCCACCUCGGCGAAAAUUUGUCCAAAUCUGAGCCGACUACCAACGAACCCUCAUCCCCAAAGUGAUCCUUCAAUAAGGAUCCAGAAUGGCUGUGUCGAUUCGACUACCUACGUACCCAAAAUUUGGGAUCAAGGCAACCGUAGUUCAUAAUUCCCGAAACUCAACGCAUUCGAAGAAUUAUUUUCAAUCCGUAUAAAGAUUUACUCAAUCUGCACACACGAUUUUCCUUUCCAGCAACUCUGAAACCACAAGGCUAAAUCAUAUAGAUUUCCUCCUCCAAAUCUCCAUGUAAGAACGCCGUCUUAACAUCCAACUGAGCCAACUCUAACUCAUAUUCUGCAACUAAGGCAAAUAGGAUACGAAUGGAAGUAUGUUUUACAACUGGAGAGAAAACUUCAUUGUAGUCAAUACCUUCCUUUUGAGCAAAACCUUUUGCCCUGAGCCUUGCCUUGUAUCGAGGAGUUGUUUGAUUCGAAGAUCCUUGCUUUUUGGUGUAGACCCAUUUAUUGCCAAUAGCCCUUUUCCCCUUUGGUAACUUUACAAGUUCCCAAGUCUGGUUUUGAUGGAGAGAUUUCAUCUCUUCCUCCAUGGCUAGCUUCCACUGAUCACUUUCAUUGCUGCGUAAUGCUUCACCGAAAGUAUUGGGGAUGUCAUCAUCAAUAACUGGAAGUGCAUAGGCUACCACCAUAUCUUUAGUAAGCCAUCCGGGUUUCUUUAUCUCUCUUCUUGGCCUCCUUGUUGCUAUAAAAUCAUCAUCAUCUACAUCAUCAAUUAUUUCUUCAUUUUGUGGGACAUCAGAAGAAACAACCUCUUCUUCAACUUUAGGUGUCACCUCCAUAGUUGAACCAUUCUUUGAUGUAGAACUAACUAGUACAUAUGGAGUUGCAUCAAACUCCACCCGCUGCAAUACCUCUGUGGUCUUGUUCUCCACCUGCUGAGAACUUGAAGCUUUUAUCAUUGAAGCUUCAUCAAAUGUGACAUCUCUGCUACACACAAACUUUUUGUCUUCGAGAUCCCAAAGCUUGAAGCCCUUUACUCCACCUUUGAAUCCCACAAAGAUAGAUUUUCUAGCACGAGGAUCCAGUUUACCAUCUUUGACAUGAUAAUAAGCUGGACACCCGAAUACACGAAGGGAAUCAUAGUCUUGUGCAUGCUUUCUAGACCACAUUUCCAUAGGAGUUUUACCUCCAAUUGCAGCAGAAGGCAACCGAUUUACCAAGUGACUUGCGUAGCUCACAGUUUCAGCCCAAAACUUUUUAUCUAAACCAGCAUUAGAUAACAUACAUCGUACCUUCUCCAGUAAAGUACGAUUCAUACGCUCAGCCACACCGUUCUAUUGCGGAGUAUGUCUCACCGUGAAAUGUCUUUUAAUACCCUCGUUCUGGCAUACUUGCAAGAAUGGAUCAAAAGUAUAUUCACCCCUAUUAUCAGAUCGUAAUACUUUGAUCUUUCUGCCAGUUUGAGUCUCCACCAAUUUCUUCCACUUCACGAAAAUCUCUAGAACCUCAUCCUUUGCUCGCAUGGUGUACACUCAUACACGUCUAGAGAAAUCAUCAACAAAUAUAACAAAAUAAUGGCUUCCACCAAUUGAUGCAGUCUUGGUUGGUCCCCAUACAUCACUAUGAACAUAUUCAAGGAUCUCACGAGUAUCGUGAUUAGCUGUACCAAACUUCACCCUUGUUUUCUUGCCUACUACACAAUGCUCACAGAAAUUUAAUUUACAGGUUUUGGUACCUUUUAAGAGUCCAUGCCUCAUCAGAGUUUGCAAAGACUUCUCUCCUGCAUGUCCCAGUCGUACAUGCCAUAGCUUGGUGGUGUCACUGUGCGCCUCAACAACAUUUGCUUCAUCAGUUGUACCUCCCUUCAAAUAGUACAGAUUGUGACGCCGAACCCCUUGCAGAAUCACCAUAGCCCCAUGUGUAAACUUCAUUGUGCCAUCUUCAAUGGUAACUUUGUAACCUUUAGCUUCCAAAGCACCCACAGAAAUUAGAUUUUUCUUUAUCUCUGGAACAAAUCUAACCUCUUUGAGUUCUCUGACCAUUCCAUCAAACAUUUUGAGCCGAAUUGUUCCUAUCCCCAUUGUGCGACAAGGUUGAUUAUUCCCUAUCAUAACUGCACCGGAUUCCAGAUUACGAAAAUCCGUAAACCAUUCCUUAAUAGGACACAAAUGAUAGGUUGCUCCAGUAUCAAGUAUCCACUCACUCGAACUAGCCACGUAUGCUGCAGGAGUAAUACUUAGUGAAUAAUCAGAGUUCUCAUCUUUCUGUGCCAUGUUUGCUGCUGCUGGUUUCUUCUCAUCUCUCUUUUGAGCCUUUGGACAAUCUUUUCUCCAAUGGCUCUUUUCAUGACAAAAGGCACACUCAUCUCGAGCUAUAUUUCUGCUUCUCGAUUUGGAUCGAGAAUUCUUUCCACCACGCUUCUUCUGUUUCUCCAUCGCCCAAUCUCUGCUCACCAAAGCUUCAGACGAUGCUCGUUCAGAAUUUUUAUCAUUAUUCCGAAUCUCCAAACUAGUCAAUGUUGUGCAAACAUCUUUAAAGACGAUCACACUCUUCCCAUAUAUCAAAGUAGUCACAAAAUGGCUAUAUUCCUCUGGUAGUGAGUGUAACAGAAUCAUAGCAUUGACUUCAUCUUUAAUAUCUUCAUCAAGAUUCUUCAAAUCAGCAAGUAACUUUUCAAAUCUUGAAACAUGAUCGUGCAUUGACACCCCAGACUUCAUUCGAAAGCCAUAUACUUGGCUCAUUGCAUGAAGACGAUUUUCAGGACUUUUCACCAGGUACUUCUCUUCCAAUGUACGCCACAAAGUCACUGCACACUCCUCAUCUUUCACCAAGUAUUUCACCUCCUUGGUCAAACAAGAUCUGAUCUGACCACAAGCUUUCUCGUUCAUACGAUCCCAAAUUUCUUCAUCAUACAAGUGUCUUUUAUUUUUCAGAACAACAUCGAGAUCGAUUUGAAUAAGGGCAUCCAUAACUUCGCGCCUCCACAUGCCGAAGUUGAUUUUCCCAUCAAACUUUUCAACAUCGAUCUUCUGGCCUCCUAUAACAGGUGCUGAAUAGCGAUUUGACAAAUCUCGCCUCCCACCUAAAUUAUCUCCUGAAAUAGUCUCGAUAGAUUUCUCCCCAAUUCUGGAAGUUUCACCUUCUACCAUUUUUCUCAACGAACUAUUUCCACUUGAAAAACAGCCUCUAUGAUGUUAAUUUCGCGUGAAUAAAUGCACCAGGAAAGUUCCCAGGAAACUGGACGGGAACUCGGUCCCAAUUAAAAACCAGAAUCCUUAGACUCUUAUCGCCUUUUUUGACAGAACUUUCCUAGACAUGCAAAAAUAUACACUACUUACAAUAGACUGUCUCCCAAGUACAAAUGGCCGUCUCCACCGUAUUCGUGAAUAGUACCAUAUACGUGAACAGUACCGUAUACGUGAACAGUACUGUAUCCCCCCAAGUACGAACCGUCGGCUCUGAUACCACUUGUUGUGCGCAGAAUGCGGAAUCAAGCGCACCAAAUAAUUACUGAAAAAUAAAGGACACAAGAAUUUACGUGGUUCGGUAAUUAAACCUACAUCCGCGAAGGCAAGAAAGAAUAAUUGUUUAUUUAACAAUUAAUAGAAUACAAUAUUUGAGUAACGAAUCUCACUUCCUAGAAACCCAAAUAUACCCAGUACUCUCACACUCUGCAGGAAAGAUAAAUUCCCCAGACACACUUCUCUCACUUCUCUCAAAAGCUUAGAAACUUAUAAGCUUAACAAUUUUGGGAUAAUUAAGAAUGGAAUAAGUGCCAUCUAUUUAUAGGGAAAAUAAUGGCACUAUUGCACCAACCCAUUUACUAUUCCACCUAACCUAAGCCAAUAGUCAAUGGUGUCCAUUUGGCAAAUUUGAAAAAUUUGCCAACUUUCCAUUUUUUCUUCAAAUGUUUGGUAGCCAUUUGAAAUUUUGCAUUCAUUUUUGAAUUUCAAUGUCACGUGCAUGACUUUUCAACACUAUCCCGCCUCAAAUUAGCAACCUUACGAAUCUUAGCAACCUUUAUUUAACAUCCAAUCAAUUGUCAGGAAAUAUUCCGCCAGAGGUUGGUCUUCUGAGUCAUUUGAAGUUCCUUUACGUUGAUUCGAACCAAUUAGAUGGCUCAAUUCCACCAGAAGUAGGUCAAUUAAGUUCUCUGGUGGAGCUUUUCUUGUUCUCUAACAACUUGAACGGUUCAGUUCCUCCUUUAGGUAAUUUGACACACAUCUCUUUAUUGUACAUUCGUGAAAAUUCAUUUUCUGGUUUUAUUCCUCCGGACAUUGGAAACUUGAAAUCUAUGUCCAUCCUAGAUUUGAGCAAUAAUCAAUUUAGUGGUCCAAUCCCUGUUUCUUUCGGUAAUUUGGCCAACCUAAAAAAACUAGACCUCCUUUAUAACAACAUAUCCGGUUCCAUUCCUCCCUCCCUUGGGAAUUCAAUGUUAACCUUGGUAGGAUUGGAUUUCAAUCAUUUUACAAGUUAUUUACCGCACAAUAUUUGUCGAGGUGGAGCAUUACAGUAUUUUACUGUUUCUGAAAACCACUUUCAAGGAACAAUCCCUAAAAGCUUGAGAAAUUGCACAAGCUUAAUCCGAGUACGCCUUAAUGGAAACAACCUUACUGGAAAUAUAUCAUAAGCUUUGGGCAUUUAUCCUAACCUGACUUUCAUAGAUCUCAGCCGCAAUAAUUUUUACGGUGAAAUCUCAUCUAAUUGGGGGAAAUGCCCAAAAUUAGGCACUCUCAAUGUUUCGAUGAAUAGCAUUAGUGGAGGUAUAUCGCGCGAGAUCGGAAACAUGUCUCAACUACAAGCACUCGAUCUUUCAUUGAAUCAUAUAGUUGGGGAGAUUCCAAAGGAACUUGGAAAGUUAAAUUCUCUAACCAAGCUCAUUUUGAGAGGGAAUCAACUGACAGGGCGUCUACCUACAGAAAUCGGCUCACUCAUUGAACUUGAAUACCUCG